Long non-coding RNA from Maniola jurtina (meadow brown), 427 nucleotides. RefSeq lists it as uncharacterized. The transcript is spliced from 3 exons. NCBI's taxonomy places the organism in Eukaryota, Metazoa, Arthropoda, Insecta, Lepidoptera, Nymphalidae. The record is from RefSeq and is a predicted model, not a curated record.
UUCAAGUUAGUAUUCUUAGUGAUUUCUCAUUAGUUUUAAAGUUUGAAACUCUAACUUUUGCAGCAGAAAUAUGAGAGAAUCAAUUUUUAUAAAGAUUUUAAUUUUAAUAGGCUUCGUUUCGUGUAAUUGUAACUAUACUUGUGAUUAUAGUUUCGGAGAUUCGUCUUGGAACUAUUCUAAAGUGUUUCAUAAUGAAGACCAUAUCAUUGCUCGUGGAACAACUUUUUAUUAUAUUAAUUUAUGCGAAAAGCCACAUAAUAUGAUAAGCUUCGUCUGUGUCAACUUGACCCGAGUCGACCUUCACACGACGAAAGUGGGGUUUGCGAGCUUGUUCAGACGGAUCGCCAUACAAUUUGAGGAACCCUACCCCUAUGACGUCAUAGCUCACGUACUGGCGAUGCACCAUGGCUACUAAAUAAUAAAUCUU